GUGGGAAAACACGAGGCGGGCAUUCCGAGGGCAACGCAUUGCGUUGGCUGUUCUUUCGCCUAAAAAGCGAGAGAAGUAAGGGCCGGGUAAGACGGGUGCCAGCCGCCGCGGUAAUACCCGCGGCCCGAGUGGUGCUCUUUGUUAUUGAGCUUAAAGCGUCCGUAGCCGGCCUUGUAAAUCCUUGGGUAAAUCGGGCAGCUCAACUGUUCGAAUUCCGAGGAGACUGCAAGGCUCGGGACCGGGAGAGGCUAGAGGUACUCUCGGGGUAGGGGUAAAAUCCUGUAAUCCUGAGAGGACCACCAGUGGCGAAGGCGUCUAGCUAGAACGGAUCCGACGGUGAGGGACGAAGCCCUGGGGCGCAAACGGGAUUAGAUACCCCGGUAGUCCAGGGUGUAAACGCUGCGGGCUUGGUGUGAGGAGGUCCUACGAGGGCGUCCGGUGCCGGAGAGAAAUUGUUAAGCCUGCCGCUUGGGGAGUACGGUCGCAAGACUGAAACUUAAAGGAAUUAUCUAAAGAGCACCGCAACGGGAGGAGCGUGCGGUUCAAUUGGAUUCAACGCCGG
RNAcentral lists this ribosomal RNA (562 nucleotides) under uncultured archaeon. Its description in RNAcentral is "bacterial SSU rRNA". It matches the Rfam family "Archaeal small subunit ribosomal RNA", at positions 357 to 921 of the family's 1478-position model. The record is from RNAcentral.